GGUGAAGCGACUAAGCGUACACGGUGGAUGCCCUGGCAGUCAGAGGCGAUGAAGGACGUGCUAAUCUGCGAAAAGCGUCGGUAAGGUGAUAUGAACCGUUAUAGCCGGCGAUGUCCGAAUGGGGAAACCCAGUGUGAUUCGUCACACUAUCGUUAACUGAAUACAUAGGUUAACGAGGCGAACCGGGGGAACUGAAACAUCUAAGUACCCCGAGGAAAAGAAAUCAACCGAGAUUCCCCCAGUAGCGGCGAGCGAACGGGGAGCAGCCCAG
RNAcentral lists this ribosomal RNA (271 nucleotides) under Klebsiella pneumoniae. RNAcentral's name for it is "partial 23S ribosomal RNA". It matches the Rfam family "Bacterial large subunit ribosomal RNA", at positions 1 to 272 of the family's 2925-position model. The record is from RNAcentral. Lineage: Bacteria; Pseudomonadati; Pseudomonadota; Gammaproteobacteria; Enterobacterales; Enterobacteriaceae.